Molecule: ribosomal RNA, 253 nt
Filed under: uncultured bacterium
Lineage: Bacteria
Description: partial 16S ribosomal RNA
Rfam family: Bacterial small subunit ribosomal RNA
Source: RNAcentral
UACGAAGGGUGCGAGCGUUGUUCGGAUUUACUGGGCGUAAAGGGCGCGCAGGCGGCUAUCCAAGUCAGGCGUGAAAGCCCCGGGCUUAACCUGGGAGGUGCGUCUGGGACUGGGUGGCUAGAGAUCGGGAGAGGAGAGUGGAAUUCCCAGUGUAGAGGUGAAAUUCGUAGAUAUUGGGAAGAACACCGGUGGCGAAGGCGGCUCUCUGGACCGAUACUGACGCUGAGGCGCGAAAGCGUGGGGAGCAAACAGG